UACUGGGCUGUCGUGGCUGCAUGGCCUGGACUUUUCUUCCAGCACCAUGAGAUUUCAGACGGGUGUGCUUCUUGGUGCGUUAUGCCUGUUUCAGUACCCAAAGGAAGUGAAAGCCUGUAUCGACAGUUCACUCAUGUACCCAGGAACCAACCUGGAUGUGUGAAAGCAAGUGCUAUUUCUUCCUAUUAUAUAGCCACCAGUCACUCAGGCUGUACUGUCAACUUUCGCUUGGGCUUAUCUUCAAAACUAAUAUUAAAGUGUGUUGCUGCAUAA
Long non-coding RNA from Pogoniulus pusillus (Red-fronted tinkerbird), 273 nucleotides. RefSeq lists it as uncharacterized. NCBI's taxonomy places the organism in Eukaryota, Metazoa, Chordata, Aves, Piciformes, Lybiidae. The record is from RefSeq and is a predicted model, not a curated record. The transcript is spliced from 2 exons.